RNAcentral lists this ribosomal RNA (175 nucleotides) under uncultured bacterium. RNAcentral's name for it is "partial 16S ribosomal RNA". It matches the Rfam family "Bacterial small subunit ribosomal RNA", at positions 1318 to 1500 of the family's 1533-position model. The record is from RNAcentral.
CCAUGAAGCUGGAUUCGCUAGUAAUCGCGCAUCAGCCACGGCGCGGUGAAUACGUUCCCGGGCCUUGUACACACCGCCCGUCAAGCCAUGGAAGCCGGGAGUGCCUGAAGUGCGUGACCGCAAGGAACGCCCUAGGGUAAAACCGGUGACUGGGGCUAAGUCGUAACAAGGUACC